Diachasmimorpha longicaudata is the source of this 2011-nucleotide RNA transcript. RefSeq lists it as uncharacterized. The record is from RefSeq and is a predicted model, not a curated record. Lineage: Eukaryota; Metazoa; Arthropoda; Insecta; Hymenoptera; Braconidae. The transcript has 6 exons.
UAGGGACUUUUGGGUGGAAUUAAGUUACUAAAUUCUUUUUACGCAACAAACAAUAUGGUUGCGCCCUUCCACGUCUUGAGAUCGCACUAAAACUAUUCGGGGGUCAAGUUAGACCUGUCAGACCCAUAUAAUUGAGACUGUUUAAUUAAUCAGACGAUUCGGUGUAUCCUAAAUACGGUUGGAAGCUCCAAUUUUCAGGGAAUGACAUCCCAUCCCUGUUGUGAGUAUCUUAACUUUUGUGCAGUCGCCUCUUCUUCAUGAAUUCAUGACAGAGUUUGACGUUUUGCAUUUUGUGGAGCCAUUCAAUCAACAUUGUUAAACAAACUUGGUGUAGACUGUAGCAAGUGAUCCAGAAAAGUCAAGUGCAUGACAUGUGAUGGCAGUUGAAAGUUAUUGUUAUUCAUCCCAACGAUUUUAGUGAAUUUUUAUAUUUGUGAAUUUUACAAGUGACACUCUCAAGGUGAUUUGAAUAUGUGGAAAUGCGGUGGAGUUUUGUUUGUUCUCACAAUUGUGUACAUCACCGAGUGUCAGAGUGCACAGUCGUACGAUGAUAAACGCUGCAAGUGCAUCUGUCCGAGUAUCUCCUCGGUGAUAAACACCACUAAUCCGUCGACUGAACGGAGGAAUUUUAUAUCUAAUGUUCCCCCGUCUAAUUGUAAUUGCGAGAAAGUCAUCCUCCCCCAGAUUAAAGAUCAGCUGAAUGGACAAGAACUCAUUUUCUGUCCCAGAUGUGAAUGUAAAUAUGAGAAUCGUAACACUACUAUUAUCAAGAUCGUUGUAAUAAUUGUGAUCUGGGUAAUUUCCCUGCUCGUGAUCUACAUGUUAUUUUUAAUUUGUCUUGAACCACUACUGAACAAAAGGAUCAGAAAGAACACUGGAGGUGCUGGAUAUCUGGAGCACACGAAUGAAGAAGAUGAUACCAUAUCUGCAGCUCCUGGAACAUCGUCCCAUCAGAUGGGCGUACGAUCAAACGUACUUAAUCGCGUUGGGCACCAACAGGACAAGUGGAAGAGACAAGUUCGAGAGCAACGACGCAAUAUCUACGAUCGCCACACGAUGUUGAAUUAAGUGAAGCCAUUUUCUUCAAUAAUGACACUGUCUAAUUAUUACAUAGGUGUAUAGUUGUAUAUUGAAAAUAUUCUGAAUUAGUAUUUCUAAAAAAAUGAUGAGGAAAGAGAGGAAAAAACUAAUUAAAGAGGAGGAGAGAGUCAAAUAAUUAGCGCAGCUUUCAGAAAUUUUUAUGGUAGGAAGGUUUCCUUCGGAAAAGAAGAAGAAAUACGAACGACUCACGUGAAACAAAUCUCAGGCUUUAUUAUAAUUUAUAUUACACCCGAUAGUUCAACAACCAGAAUAUCUAUCCAUUCAAUUCUUCACGUCAUUAUCCGGACGAUGUAUAUCUUCGUUAAUAUGUAUUGUAAUAUAGUAUGCAGAACGUCUAGAAAUUGCGUAAGAGACCACACACAUCUAAUGGUAACUAUUUUCACAGUGAAAUUGUCAAAUGUAAUCUGUCAAAUUUUUCGAUUCACUCAUUUGUGCAGUUAUCCCAGUGUCGAAUCAUUCUAAAAUGUUGGAAUGCAGUUUUGACAGUAGGAAAUUUGUUGGGAGUCUUUUAAAAUCGUCGUUUGCAUUUAGUCCCUAGGGUAAAGGGCAUAUUUUUGCUUUGUCCCGAAACAGAGAACACUAGAAUGGGAUAGAGACAAAGGUGGCUGGUUUCCCCUUGAAUGGAAGCACUGACGUUCAAUUACAAAUAUAAAAAAUAAUUGCAACGGACAAAAAUGGCCAGAGUACUUGGGUGUUCAUGAGGAAAAGUGCAAUUAUGAAUUUAAUUAUGUCACUGCUGCUGUCGUCGUAUCCUCUAGCUCCGUUUUUAUUUCAUUAUCAGAAUGAGAAUGUUCCACGGGACUAGAAUUAUCUAGAUUCCUAAAUCAGCUAUCGAAAUUUCCUAAAUUAUACCGUUGAGAUUAUCAAUUUUUCUUGUCAAGAAGUAUGAAAAUACAAUUAUUUUAUUUUA